CAGUAGCCACGGGAAUACGAAGGGGGCUAGCGUUGUUCGGAUUUACUGGGCGUAAAGGGCGCGUAGGCGGACUGAUAAGUCAGGGGUGAAAUCCCAAGGCUCAACCUUGGAACUGCCUUUGAUACUGUUUGUCUUGAGUUCGAGAGAGGUAAGUGGAACUGCGAGUGUAGAGGUGAAAUUCGUAGAUAUUCGCAAGAACACCAGUGGCGAAGGCGGCAUACUGGCUCGAAACUGACGCUGAGGCGCGAAAGCGUGGGGAGCAAACAGGAUUAGAUACCCCAGUAGUCCCUGUCUCUUAUAA
RNAcentral lists this ribosomal RNA (301 nucleotides) under uncultured bacterium. RNAcentral describes it as "partial 16S ribosomal RNA". It matches the Rfam family "Bacterial small subunit ribosomal RNA", at positions 509 to 809 of the family's 1533-position model. The record is from RNAcentral.